This 78-nucleotide microRNA precursor is filed under the name Schistosoma mattheei. Its description in RNAcentral is "mir-3492 microRNA precursor family". It matches the Rfam family "mir-3492 microRNA precursor family". The record is from Rfam by way of RNAcentral. Lineage: Eukaryota; Metazoa; Platyhelminthes; Trematoda; Strigeidida; Schistosomatidae.
AGCCUACUGUAUCUGUGCUGAGGUUUCAACACACACCAAACCACAAGUGCUGACGAAACUACCAAGAUAAGUGAAGCG